AGAAGGGCUUCCACGACGGUUUCGUUGCGGGGGCCUUUUUCUUUUGC
Molecule: antisense RNA, 47 nt
Filed under: uncultured Gellertiella sp.
Lineage: Bacteria; Pseudomonadati; Pseudomonadota; Alphaproteobacteria; Hyphomicrobiales; Rhizobiaceae
Description: ctRNA
Rfam family: ctRNA
About the family: This family represents a group of ctRNAs (or counter-transcribed RNAs) from p42d and related plasmids. ctRNAs are small, highly structured, antisense sequences which are involved in negative regulation. Members of this family are known to bind to the mRNA of repC causing translational repression.
Source: RNAcentral